AAUAUUGGACAAUGGGGGCAACCCUGAUCCAGUCAUGCCGCGUGUGUGAAGAAGGUCUUCGGCUUGUAAAGCACUUUAAGUUGGGGGGAAGGGCUUUAGGUUAAUACACUGAAGUUUUGACGUUACCAACAGAAUAAGCAACGGCUAACUAUGUGCCAGCAGCCGCGGUAAUACAGAGGGUGCAAGCGUUAAUCGGAACUACUGGGCGUAAAGCGCGCGUAGGUGGGUCAGUAAGAUGGGUGUGAAAUCCCCGGGCUUAACCUGGGAACUGCUUUCAUAACUGCUGGGCUAGAGUACGGUAGAGGGUAGUGGAAUUUCCUGUGUAGCGGUGAAAUGCGUAGAUAUAGGAAGGAACACCAGUGGCGAAGGCGACUACCUGGACUGAUACUGACACUGAGGUGCGAAAGCGUGGGGAGCAAACAG
This 423-nucleotide ribosomal RNA is filed under the name uncultured bacterium. RNAcentral describes it as "partial 16S ribosomal RNA". It matches the Rfam family "Bacterial small subunit ribosomal RNA", at positions 360 to 775 of the family's 1533-position model. The record is from RNAcentral.